This 73-nucleotide transfer RNA is filed under the name Ictidomys tridecemlineatus (thirteen-lined ground squirrel). Its description in RNAcentral is "Spermophilus tridecemlineatus (thirteen-lined ground squirrel) tRNA". It matches the Rfam family "tRNA". From Rfam's summary of the family: Transfer RNA (tRNA) molecules are approximately 80 nucleotides in length. Their secondary structure includes four short double-helical elements and three loops (D, anti-codon, and T loops). Lineage: Eukaryota; Metazoa; Chordata; Mammalia; Rodentia; Sciuridae. The record is from Rfam by way of RNAcentral.
GGGGUUGUAACUCAGUGGUAGAGUGCUCACCUGGCAUGCGUGAGUCACUGGGUUCAAUCAUCAGUUGAACCCA